Molecule: long non-coding RNA, 1468 nt
Organism: Diceros bicornis minor
Lineage: Eukaryota; Metazoa; Chordata; Mammalia; Perissodactyla; Rhinocerotidae
Exons: 5
Source: RefSeq, a predicted model, not a curated record
GCUGCACGUCAGCACGACCAACUAAGCGCGUCAGCACGCAGCCGCGCGCAUCGCAGGGCCCGCCGGGAACCGUAGUACGCCCCGUGGUCUUGUGCGCAGGCGCCGAGGCUACACCGGGAAGUGUAGUUUCUUAAGGAGGGAAGGAGGUUCAACUUCGUUGACGAAGAACUACAAGUCCCGUCGGCCAGUGCGAGGAAGGGCUGGGUAGUGGACCAGAGUAGACAACGUAUUCCGGAGGGUUUCCGCUGGGGGGAGAGGACACAGAGCCUCGCGCCACAUCGAGUGACGCCAGAGCGCACAUGAGCCUCCCGCCUUCGACCCAAACCAUUCUGGGAGUUGUAGUUCUAGCGUGGCACGGAACCCGUAUGUAGCUGCGGCCACCACCCCCCCCUUACCCCGGGGCGCGGCCGCCAUUUUGUCUUCCCAUGUUGGGAGGCGAUGGCCCGCGAACAGGGGAGCUACUGCUUCCGUGUGACCGCGGGCCUCCACGGGGCGAGCCCGCGGCCGCGCCGCCCUCGGCCUUCCGCACCCGGAGAAGGCCCCUCAGACCCCAGCCAGCGGGCACCCCCGGAACCUCAGAUCCCAGCUUCAGGCCCAGGGCCUGAGGCAAAGGCCGAGCCAGCCUGCCGUGGUGGUUGCAGCUUCCACGCGGACGGUGCUGACCGGGCGGCUGCCCUGGGGGAUAAUUUUCUAUGACCUCCGGGUGAAAAAGGAAUAAAAUUCAGUUAAAAGACCCGUGAUAAUCUCAGAAAACUGUCACGUGGUUUCAGGGAAACUACUGCUCUUCUAAUAAGCCAUUGUAGGCACACAGAAGGGAGGACCCGGAAACACCACUCCCAAGUCCAUUUCCCGUUCUGAUCCCGCCAGAGCCUGAGGGACCAGGGAGGAGAGAGCCUGCCUCCUUUGCUAGGGGUGAGUUCGUCACCUUGAGAAGAUGACGGCAGGAGAGAUGCCCAGAGUCUGCUUCACCGUGGAUGGUGAAAUACCUGUACAAGUGGUGCUCACAGGGCCCGCGGCAUUAGUGGUGGCUGGGGGCCUCAUUCUGUGCAAGCUGCCCCCAGUCUUCGCUGCAUUUGUGAUCAUUGGCUUCUGCACCGGGGUCACCAUCUACUUCUUGAAUAAGUACAUGAAUAAGAAAGGAAGUCAAGGUCCAGACUUCAAGAAGGAAAAAGAGAUUUAGCCUCACAGGCCAAAUGCUGGCUGAAGAUGGAAACUAACCAGAAAAGUCCUGAUGGUUAUGGAAAAAGGAGAUUCAAUCUUCGAGAUCAAACACAAUCUGAAGACACCAGCUGGCAAGGCCACGUGCUCCCCUUCCCCUACCUGAAACCCCAGAUAAAAACCCCUACGUUUUUCACUUCAAGGAGGUGGAUUUGAGUUUUAACUCCCAUCUCCUCGUCUGCUGCCUUUCAAUGAUAAACCUCUUUCCUUGCCACAAGCCUGGCAUUUGGUUAUUUGCCCUCAUGUGCAG